UACGAAGGGGGCUAGCGUUGUUCGGAAUUACUGGGCGUAAAGCGCACGUAGGCGGACCAGCAAGUUAGGGGUGAAAUCCCGGGGCUCAACCCCGGAACUGCCUUUAAAACUGUUGGUCUCGAGUUCGAGAGAGGUGAGUGGAAUUCCGAGUGUAGAGGUGAAAUUCGUAGAUAUUCGGAGGAACACCAGUGGCGAAGGCGGCUCACUGGCUCGAUACUGACGCUGAGGUGCGAAAGCGUGGGGAGCAAACAGG
This 253-nucleotide ribosomal RNA is filed under the name uncultured bacterium. RNAcentral's name for it is "partial 16S ribosomal RNA". It matches the Rfam family "Bacterial small subunit ribosomal RNA", at positions 524 to 776 of the family's 1533-position model. The record is from RNAcentral.